Long non-coding RNA from Anguilla rostrata (American eel), 1920 nucleotides. RefSeq lists it as uncharacterized. NCBI's taxonomy places the organism in Eukaryota, Metazoa, Chordata, Actinopteri, Anguilliformes, Anguillidae. The transcript has 2 exons. The record is from RefSeq and is a predicted model, not a curated record.
CUAACCCACCACACUGUGCAUAAACUGGCUCUAACCCACCACACUGUGCAUAAACUGGCUCUAACCCACCACACUGUGCAUAAACUGGCUCUAACCCACCACACUGUGCAUAAACUGGCUCUAACCCACCACACGGUGCAUAAACUGGCUCUAACCCACCACACGGUGCAUAAACUGGCUCUAACCCACCACACUGUGCAUAAACUGACUCUAACCCACCACAUUGUGCACAGCCCAGCUUCCCUAAACACUGUCCGAAAACUCCUCCCAGGCCUGACAACCAGGCCCUUUAUUAGGCCCAAUGAUUAGGUACUGGGCCACAGCUGUAGUGGGCAUGUUGUCUCCCACAGCUGUGGCCAAACCUGUGAGUUGGGUUGGUGCUGCCCUCUGGUGGACAGCCGCCCAAUUUCCUUCCUUCCCAGGCACCAACUAGCAACAUUCUUUUUUAUAAGGUAGCUGCUUUUUCAUUAAAAAAAAAAAAAAAAACCCCUUAAACUUUAAAAUCUAAAUGUAACUUAGUAAAGAUGGAAUAUACAGACCAUUGUAGGUUAGACAGAAUAAUUCUGCAAUAAGAGUAAAUAGAGGUCUGAACACAUUGAGCCUGAAACACUCCUGGGGAAAAGAUAAUGGAAACCAGCGGAACAUUUACAUAGGUAGUGUCAGUCUUCUUAGAGAAACAUGUCUUAGUGGUAAAGAACUUGAGCAGGUCAGUGUUCAGGCCAAAUGCAUUUUCACUGCUGACCAGCAGGAGCGAUGGUCCCUCAGAUCACUGCUGUAGCUGAUACAGGCUGUAGCUGACACUUUACAUUCAUUAAAGUGAAACAUUUCAGUCACAGACCUUCUUCAGGCAUGUAGUAUAAGGACAAAAGAUGGAAUUCAGAAGAUCAUGCGACCAAUCAGAGAAAACUUAAAAUAUAAAAGGGAUUAAUAAAGUGAAUUAAAAGAAACGCUUCAGGUUGAAUUCUGUCAGUAGAAUGAGAGGGGAAUCGAUGGAAAUGAUCAAAAAUUAUAUGCCGCACAGACAUUGGGAAUUAUUUUUCCACACUGAGAGUAGUUUAAGCUACUGUAGGACAACACACGCAUCUGGGCUGUGGUGAAAAUGCAGCGUGACCGAUGCAUCAGGGCUGUCGAGCCUUUAGAGGCGGAGGGUGAUGAAAAGUGGACUGAGAAUCCGGGAAUUAACCGGAGGAAUGUGCAGUUAAAGGGGAAUUGCAUUUUAUAGCACUUCUGCUUCUCAUGACUGAUAUUGUCCUACUAAUAAAUGUGUCACCCUUAAUUUUUCGAUUAGUUAUUUCAUUUUAAAUGUCUAACGUUAGAAAGAAAGACCUAUUUUUUUUUAGCGCAAGUCGACAUAGUAGUACGGUUUCCGGUUUUUUCUUCUUCUUAAAUUUCGUUUCGCGGCCGCAAAACAUUCCGUUAGCUUAGCGUUGAAAUCGAACAAACUAACGUUCUUUUGUUUGAUGCGAUAUCGGUGUAAUAAUGAGGUGCAUUGUACCCGGUUGUUAUAAUGCCCCCGUUAAACUUGCAUUGAAAGCACAUUUUCAUAGUUUUCCAGGCGAUGAAACUUUGUACCAGACAUGUCUGGAUGUAAUCAGACACCCCAACACAACAGCCGAAGAAGUUCGCAAACGAGGAUAAUGCAGCGACCACUUGAAGCCAUCGGCUACCAAGGCGACCGUAUGAACCCUGGAGCUAUACCCACCGUUUUCCUAUUGUUGGUUGAACCGCUCGAGGUUCUGCCCACAGAGCAGCUCUCAUCCCAUAAAACACCUGUAUGAGGAGCGCAUCAUGUCUUCAUGGGGGAUUCUUCAGGUAAGCUAAAUUGUAGUCGUUAAAUCAUAGCUCAUUAUAGCCUAAUCACCGUCACAACUGGUCAUAUAAACAAGAGCCACCAGCUGUAUUUCAGCCAUUUUUAAACAC